Molecule: transfer RNA, 65 nt
Filed under: Antarctomyces pellizariae
Lineage: Eukaryota; Fungi; Ascomycota; Leotiomycetes; Thelebolales; Thelebolaceae
Description: tRNA-Met
Rfam family: tRNA
About the family: Transfer RNA (tRNA) molecules are approximately 80 nucleotides in length. Their secondary structure includes four short double-helical elements and three loops (D, anti-codon, and T loops).
Source: RNAcentral
AGGAUAGUUUAAUCGGUUAAAACAUUAAUUUCAUGCAUUAAUAAUGAGAAUUCAACUUUCUCUCC